Long non-coding RNA from Bos taurus (domestic cattle), 1000 nucleotides. The record is from Ensembl. Lineage: Eukaryota; Metazoa; Chordata; Mammalia; Artiodactyla; Bovidae.
AAUGGUCACAGAGGAUAUCCGCGCUCCAGAUGGAGACUCAGCUGGAAAUUGAGGGGAAGAAUGACAUGGGGAGACCAAGCUUUGAGAUCAAGCCCUGAGCCUUUGGAGUGGGAGCACUGACUCCAAGACCCUAGACUACCAGAGAACUAACCCUCAGAUCAGAUCAGAUCAGUCACUCAGUCGUGUCUGACUCUUUGCAACCCCAUGAAUCUCAGCACAUCAGGCCUCCCUGUCCAUCACCAACUCCCAGAGUUCACUCAGACUCACGUCCAUCGAGUCAGUGAUGCCAUCCAGCCAUCUCAUCCUCUGUCUUCCCCUUCUCCUCCUGCCCCCAAUCCCUCCCAGCAUCAGAGUCUUUUCCAGUGAGUCAACUCUUCAGGCUGAGCGCUGAAGAAUUGAUGCUUUUGAACUGUGGUGUUGGAGAAGACUCUUGAGAAUGCCUUGGACUGCAAGGAGAUCCAACCAGUCCAUUCUGAAGGAGAUCAGCCCUGGGAUUUCUUUGGAAGGAAUGAUGCUAAAGCUGAAACUCCAGUACUUUGGCCACCUCAUGUGAAGAACUAACCCUAGGGAGUACCCAAUAGUGAGAACCCACACAAAGGAAACCACUUGAAUACAGAACCCAGCAUCACCCAACCACAAGUACCACCCUGUGCAGGAUGCCUAAUCUAAACAACAAACAAAACAAAAAUGCAAACCCAAUCAUCAGCAGGCAGAAUUACAAACCCCACUCAGCCUUGCCCAUCAGAGGAAAAACAAACAAGCAAACAAAAACUCAGCACAAAUCUCACCCUAUAUGAAGCUCACACCAACCACUGGACCAAUCUUAGGAGGGCAGAAACCAAAAGGAAGCAUUCAAUUUUCUUCAAAGAAAGAUUUCAACUUUCCUUGAAGCCUGGGAAAAGGAGACCUCAAACACAAUAACUUAUAAAAAAAUAAUGAAAAGGCAGAGAAAUACUACACAAAUGAAGGAACAAACUAGAAACACAGAACUCCAAAUAAA